AUCUACAGGUCGAGCAAGUCUCGUAAAUUUCACGAUUGCGAGCCACGCUUCACGCAACCGUGUUUGCAUACUUGUGUUUCGAGUUGCGUGGUCGUGCGGAGUUAUAUUUACCAAAUUUAAAUAUAAUCGUUUCUAUUACCAUGCUGUCAAAAUUAAAUCAAUAUGGCUACUAAUCUUAUUCUAUCUGUUCUUCAUGAGUUUUAGAUAAUUUUAGUUGUAUUUCUUUGUAAUUUUGUGUUGUACAAAGAUUAAUUUAACAUUUUCUCUGGAAGUAUUAAUUUAGAAAGAUAAUAUGCUUCAUUGGUGUUGUGUUUUGAAGUGUGAAAUGCAAAGUAAUUGUGAUAAAGUCAAGAUAUUCACUUUUAAACUGAACUAAAUAAGGUAUCAUCUGAGAGACAACAAUGGUUAAAUGCAAUACAAUGUACAGGUUUUACUAGCGAAAUGAAAAUUUUCCUGUCCUGUCUGCUGUAAUCAUUUUAUAUAUGGAAAACCAGCCGACUUAAUCGAUAAUAACAAUCUCCAGAUUGGGUUCCUUCAAUAAAUAUGGGCUAUAAACACAAUGGAAUAAGUUCCCCAAAAUCUAAAAUGGAGUGGUAUCAAAGGAGAAUUAAAGGAAAAAAUAUUCAUAUUGAAAUUAUUUAUAAGGCACUGGACUGUCUUAAAUUCUACAAUAAUACUAGAAUCAGCUGAGAGAAGUGGUCUACAAAAAACCAGGAAGGAAACGGAAUAUGUGGCUACGAAAGGCAAAAGAAAGGUUUACAAAGCAAAUGUGACACAUUUUUUUGAAAUAUUUAGGAAUAUCAGUAAAUUGCAUUAAAAAAAUGUAUGAAAAGAUUUUGUUCAAUAAAA
Diabrotica virgifera virgifera (western corn rootworm) is the source of this 849-nucleotide long non-coding RNA. RefSeq lists it as uncharacterized. Lineage: Eukaryota; Metazoa; Arthropoda; Insecta; Coleoptera; Chrysomelidae. The transcript has 3 exons. The record is from RefSeq and is a predicted model, not a curated record.